This 434-nucleotide ribosomal RNA is filed under the name uncultured bacterium. Its description in RNAcentral is "bacterial SSU rRNA". It matches the Rfam family "Bacterial small subunit ribosomal RNA", at positions 958 to 1392 of the family's 1533-position model. The record is from RNAcentral.
AACGCGAAGAACCUUACCUGCCCAUGACAUCCUCGGAACUUUCUAGAGAUGGGGCGGUGCCUUCGGAGGCCGAGAGACAGGUGCUGCAUGGCUGUCGUCAGCUCGUGUCGUGAGAUGUUGGGUUAUGUCCCGCAACGAGCGCAACCCUUGUCCUUAGUUGCCAGCACUUUGGGUGGGCACUCUAAGGAGACUGCCGGUGACAAACCGGAGGAAGGGGGGGAUGACGUCAAGUCAUCAUGGCCUUUAUGGGCUGGGCUACACACGUGCUACAAUGGUCGGUACAAAGGGUUGCCAACCCGCGAGGGGGAGCCAAUCCCGUAAAGCCGAUCGUAGUCCGGAUCGGAGUCUGCAACUCGACUCCGUGAAGUCGGAAUCGCUAGUAAUCGCGGAUCAGAACGCCGCGGUGAAUACGUUCCCGGGCCUUGCACACACCG